Molecule: microRNA precursor, 129 nt
Filed under: Otolemur garnettii (small-eared galago)
Lineage: Eukaryota; Metazoa; Chordata; Mammalia; Primates; Galagidae
Source: RNAcentral
AGUGAUCAACCUGCCAGUGCUAUUGUUUGGUACUUAAAGCGAGGUUGCCCUUUGUAUAUUCUGUUUAUUGACAUGCAAUAUACAAGGGCAAGCUCUCUGUGAGUAUCAAACCUUGUCUUGGACCCAGUC